This 274-nucleotide ribosomal RNA is filed under the name uncultured bacterium. Its description in RNAcentral is "partial 16S ribosomal RNA". It matches the Rfam family "Bacterial small subunit ribosomal RNA", at positions 523 to 796 of the family's 1533-position model. The record is from RNAcentral.
AUACAGAGGGUGCGAGCGUUAAUCGGAAUUACUGGGCGUAAAGCGCGCGUAGGCGGCUUAUUAAGUCAGAUGUGAAAUCCCCGGGCUCAACCUGGGAACUGCAUCUGAUACUGGUAAGCUAGAGUUUUGGAGAGGGAAGUAGAAUUUCAGGUGUAGCGGUGAAAUGCAUAGAGAUCUGAAGGAAUACCAGUGGCGAAGGCGACUUCCUGGCCAAAAACUGACGCUGUGGUGCGAAAGCGUGGGUAGCAAACGGGAUUAGAAACCCUAGUAGUCC